AACAAUGUCUUUUAUAAUAGACACCCAGAGUCACGAUUCGUCUUGGUCUUAGAAAAUCCUGUUUCGGCAGUUUUUUUUAGGCAGUGGACGUAUAUAGUUUACUUAAUCGUUUACUGUACGUUGAAAUACUAAUACUAUUUCACUGUCGUGCUCGCGGUUGAUCUUAGAUAAAUAUAUUUCUUUUUCAUAAAAGAAAGUGGGUGGAUCUUCCCUGGAAGUACGAUCAAUGUACUUAUGAUUAGAUCCUCUUCACGCACAUAC
Small nucleolar RNA from Saccharomyces kudriavzevii IFO 1802, 261 nucleotides. It matches the Rfam family "Small nucleolar RNA snR11". NCBI's taxonomy places the organism in Eukaryota, Fungi, Ascomycota, Saccharomycetes, Saccharomycetales, Saccharomycetaceae. The record is from Rfam.